GGAGGAAACGCACACGAAUGUCCGACUUGCUUCGCAAGCUGGACUAAUUCUUCAAACUUGGAUCCAGAGCUAACUACAAUGUUAACCUCCCUGUGGAGGGUGUUAAUGACUGUCUGCUAGACAACUCUCAAGUCUGCAGUCUUCUCUAUAAUUCCAUCGGCCAUUGCAUGGACAUAACAUGAAAGUUCUAUGCUAAAAAUAUUUUUCCCUGUUGAUCGGAUGAGAUAUUCAAAUUUUCUGAAAAGAGGUGCAGAGUUGUUAGAGUGGGGAGAAGGCCUGCAACACACAGCACUAAAGAGCAGCAAAGAACAGGUGGAAGACCACAGCCACCCCAGGCAGAGAGACACAAGGGCAACUAUCCACAUUGAGGUAGGUCGUCGGUGAAGCACAGGAGCAGCAGCCCCCAGGCCAAGAGAGACAGUGCGAGACAUAAAGCACUGAACCCCCACCGCCAUAUCCCACCAUGUGAGCAAAGCUUGAUACCCAGUCUCCUGGUGACCCAGGCCUCACACCAACCCCAGCAGCAAGACCAAGCAGCACCAAGCAUGGGAACUCCUGUAGAUCCCCCAACUCACCGGGCAGGCACCAGCCCACCACGGCAGCUGGAACUCGGAUACCAUCCCCCCUGGUGAGCUAGCCCCUGGGAAGUCAAAGAGGGAGCGAUGACCUGGCAGCCCACAGCCAACCCAAUACAUCCCUGGAAGCAAUAGGCCACCUGAAGGAAACCCACCAAUCUGGGACUUUUGCCGAGCACCAACAUAAAAAAUAUCACACCAAGGGAGGCAGCUUCUUUAAACAUUUUACACACAAUAAUGAAAAGCUCCUCAUCAUCUGACAAGAGGUCUUCAUAUGGGAGGUCAUCAAGGUCCACAUCACCAGGCAUGAUAAAUCUUAAAAAAUUGAAACAAAAAACACUAAAAAACAUCCAGAAAAAGCUCCUCGUCAGCAGAAGCAAGG
Girardinichthys multiradiatus is the source of this 957-nucleotide long non-coding RNA. RefSeq lists it as uncharacterized. The transcript has 3 exons. NCBI's taxonomy places the organism in Eukaryota, Metazoa, Chordata, Actinopteri, Cyprinodontiformes, Goodeidae. The record is from RefSeq and is a predicted model, not a curated record.